GAUGAAGAACGUAGCGAAAUGCGAUAAGUAAUGUGAAUUGCAGAAUUCAGUGAAUCAUCGAAUCUUUGAACGCACAUUGCGCCCCCCGGCAUUCCGGGGAGCAUGCCUGUUCGAGCGUCUCUUAGAAUACCCCUCACGCCGGCGGAGGCGUGGUCAUGGCGGCGGUGGCGUGCCCCGGGAGGGAGGCCACCGCGCUGGAAUCCAUGGGCGGACGCCUGCCGCGUGGCCGAGCGUGAUAAGACGCACUGGCGCUCGCGCGCGGCGAGGCUGCCGGCCCUGGCCCGCUCGUCGGGCGGGGACAGCAACACUUGGGAACUCCUCGAAUCAGGUAGGGAUACCCGCUGAACUUAAGCAUAUCAAUAAGCGGAGGA
This 371-nucleotide unclassified non-coding RNA is filed under the name soil metagenome. RNAcentral describes it as "partial contains 5.8S ribosomal RNA, internal transcribed spacer 2, and large subunit ribosomal RNA". The stretch from base 1 to 120 matches the Rfam family "5.8S ribosomal RNA", at positions 35 to 154 of the family's 154-position model. The record is from RNAcentral.